AACUUCAGGCUUGGUUGAUUGGUCCGCCUCACGGUGUGUACUGUUCGACCGAGCCUUACCUCUUGGUGAGCCAGCAUGCCGUUUAUUCGGUGUGUUGGGGAACCAGGAUUUUUACUCUGAAAAAAUUAGAGUGUUCAAAGCAGGCCUAUGCCCGAAUACAUUAGCAUGGAAUAAUAGAAUAGGACGUGCGGUUCUAUUUUGUUGGUUUCUAGGAUCGCCGUAAUGAUUAAUAGGGAUAGUUGGGGGCAUUCGUAUUUCAUUGUCAGAGGUGAAAUUCUUGGAUUUAUGAAAGACGAACUUCUGCGAAAGCAUUUGCCAAGGAUGUUUUCAUUAAUCAAGAACGAAAGUUGGGGGCUCGAAGACGAUCAGAUACCGUCCUAGUCUCAACCAUAAACGAUGCCGACUAGGGAUUGGCGGAUGUUAAUUUGAUGACUCCGCCAGCACCUUAUGAGAAAUCAAAGUUUUUGGGUUCCGGGGGGAGUAUGGUCGCAAGGCUGAAACUUAAAGG
Molecule: ribosomal RNA, 508 nt
Filed under: uncultured eukaryote
Lineage: Eukaryota
Description: bacterial SSU rRNA
Rfam family: Eukaryotic small subunit ribosomal RNA
Source: RNAcentral